ACCGUUGUUGUUGUUGCUUGUUGUUUUUGUGGAAGGCACGCGCCUUUUUUCGUCUUUUUCACUUGCGUUUACUUAAGUGAAGGAGUUAGAAGUAAAAGAAAACUACGAGCAAACAACUUUGUUAAAUUCAAUUAAUAGUGGCUUAAAAGUGAAAUAGAAUCAAUUCCCAGACAAGGCUGAUGGUAAAUCUAUAAAAAAAAUGGUAGGCUAAGUCGUUCCAUUUUAAGCGUAUUAUCCGGGGAACUUGUUCUGUCCCACAACUUGGAGGAGGGUCAAAACAAGAAGAAGCUCAAAGUCUUCCCAAAUUUCGUCCGCGCCUUGUUAAAUGCAAUCGCUCUGGUGGAGCCCUCGGAGCCUCCCGAAAAGGCAUUGCAAAAAGCAAUGAGGUGCGUCAAAAACCUAAGUUGGGCAAAAAAAAAAGUCAACGCUGGCCCCAGAUGCUGACGAACCGACGACUCCGAUAACACCG
This is a long non-coding RNA of Drosophila subpulchrella, 469 nucleotides long. RefSeq lists it as uncharacterized. NCBI's taxonomy places the organism in Eukaryota, Metazoa, Arthropoda, Insecta, Diptera, Drosophilidae. The record is from RefSeq and is a predicted model, not a curated record. The transcript has 3 exons.